Molecule: ribosomal RNA, 253 nt
Filed under: uncultured bacterium
Lineage: Bacteria
Description: partial 16S ribosomal RNA
Rfam family: Bacterial small subunit ribosomal RNA
Source: RNAcentral
UACAGAGGGUGCGAGCGUUGUCCGGAAUCACUGGGCGUAAAGGGCGCGUAGGUGGCUCGUUAAGCGUGUGGUGAAAGCCUGGGGCUCAACCCCAGGUCUGCCGUGCGAACUGGCGAGCUUGAGCAGAGUAGAGGCGGGUGGAAUUUCGGGUGUAGCGGUGGAAUGCGUAGAUAUCCGAAAGAACACCGGUGGCGAAGGCGGCCCGCUGGGCUCUUGCUGACACUGAACCGCGACAGCGUGGGGAGCAAACAGG